UACAGAGGUCUCAAGCGUUGUUCGGAUUCAUUGGGCGUAAAGGGUGCGUAGGUGGCGCUGUAAGUCAGGUGUGAAAUUUCGGAGCUCAACUCCGAAACUGCAUUUGAUACUGCGGUGCUUGAGGACUGGAGAGGAGACUGGAAUUCACGGUGUAGCAGUGAAAUGCGUAGAUAUCGUGAGGAAGACCAGUGGCGAAGGCGGGUCUCUGGACAGAUCCUGACACUGAGGCACGAAGGCCAGGGGAGCAAACGGG
This 253-nucleotide ribosomal RNA is filed under the name uncultured bacterium. Its description in RNAcentral is "partial 16S ribosomal RNA". It matches the Rfam family "Bacterial small subunit ribosomal RNA", at positions 524 to 776 of the family's 1533-position model. The record is from RNAcentral.